This 213-nucleotide ribosomal RNA is filed under the name Clostridioides difficile. RNAcentral describes it as "partial 16S ribosomal RNA". It matches the Rfam family "Bacterial small subunit ribosomal RNA", at positions 1321 to 1533 of the family's 1533-position model. Lineage: Bacteria; Bacillati; Bacillota; Clostridia; Peptostreptococcales; Peptostreptococcaceae. The record is from RNAcentral.
UGAAGCUGGAGUUACUAGUAAUCGCAGAUCAGAAUGCUGCGGUGAAUGCGUUCCCGGGUCUUGUACACACCGCCCGUCACACCACGGGAGUUGGAGACGCCCGAAGCCGAUUAUCUAACCUUUUGGAAGAAGUCGUCGAAGGUGGAAUCAAUAACUGGGGUGAAGUCGUAACAAGGUAGCCGUAUCGGAAGGUGCGGCUGGAUCACCUCCUUU